AUCACAAAAAUAGCAUUAAAUUUGACUGAAUCUAUUAAGGAUGGCUCUGACAGCACUAUUGAGUUUUGGUGAUGCAGUGGAACAUAGAUUUUAAAAAUUUUGACAUGCAUUCAAUAUUUGAAAAUAAAGUUUAACAAUUAAACUCAACCAUCGAAACUCAAAAGCCUAGGAACCCCUUAACGAUUUCAAUCAAAUCACAAAUAACAUGCAUAUUAGGAGA
RNAcentral lists this long non-coding RNA (220 nucleotides) under Elaeis guineensis (African oil palm). RNAcentral's name for it is "long non-coding RNA (EGUI_LNC080117)". The record is from RNAcentral. Lineage: Eukaryota; Viridiplantae; Streptophyta; Magnoliopsida; Arecales; Arecaceae.